This 655-nucleotide ribosomal RNA is filed under the name Staphylococcus hominis. Its description in RNAcentral is "bacterial SSU rRNA". It matches the Rfam family "Bacterial small subunit ribosomal RNA", at positions 236 to 882 of the family's 1533-position model. Lineage: Bacteria; Bacillati; Bacillota; Bacilli; Caryophanales; Staphylococcaceae. The record is from RNAcentral.
CCGUAUUAGCUAGUUGGUAAGGUAACGGCUUACCAAGGCAACGAUACGUAGCCGACCUGAGAGGGUGAUCGGCCACACUGGAACUGAGACACGGUCCAGACUCCUACGGGAGGCAGCAGUAGGGAAUCUUCCGCAAUGGGCGAAAGCCUGACGGAGCAACGCCGCGUGAGUGAUGAAGGUCUUCGGAUCGUAAAACUCUGUUAUUAGGGAAGAACAAACGUGUAAGUAACUGUGCACGUCUUGACGGUACCUAAUCAGAAAGCCACGGCUAACUACGUGCCAGCAGCCGCGGUAAUACGUAGGUGGCAAGCGUUAUCCGGAAUUAUUGGGCGUAAAGCGCGCGUAGGCGGUUUUUUAAGUCUGAUGUGAAAGCCCACGGCUCAACCGUGGAGGGUCAUUGGAAACUGGAAAACUUGAGUGCAGAAGAGGAAAGUGGAAUUCCAUGUGUAGCGGUGAAAUGCGCAGAGAUAUGGAGGAACACCAGUGGCGAAGGCGACUUUCUGGUCUGUAACUGACGCUGAUGUGCGAAAGCGUGGGGAUCAAACAGGAUUAGAUACCCUGGUAGUCCACGCCGUAAACGAUGAGUGCUAAGUGUUAGGGGGUUUCCGCCCCUUAGUGCUGCAGCUAACGCAUUAAGCACUCCGCCUGGGGAGUA